UACGAAGGGGGCUAGCGUUGCUCGGAAUUAUUGGGCGUAAAGCGCACGUAGGCGGCAUUGCAAGUCCCAUGUGAAAGCCCACGGCUUAACCGUGGAAGUGCAUGGGAAACUGCAGUGCUUGAGUACUUAAGAGGAUCGCGGAAUUCCCGGUGUAGAGGUGAAAUUCGUAGAUAUCGGGAGGAACACCAGUGGCGAAGGCGGCGAUCUGGGAAGAUACUGACGCUGAGGUGCGAAAGCGUGGGGAGCAAACAGG
RNAcentral lists this ribosomal RNA (253 nucleotides) under uncultured bacterium. RNAcentral describes it as "partial 16S ribosomal RNA". It matches the Rfam family "Bacterial small subunit ribosomal RNA", at positions 524 to 776 of the family's 1533-position model. The record is from RNAcentral.